UUGCAAAGGUAGCAUAAUAAUUAGUUUAUUAAUUGUAAAAUCGUAUGAAAGAAUAAAUAAGAAUUUAAUUGUCUCAAUUUUACACCAACCAAACUUUAUUUCUUUAUCAAAAAGUUAAGAUUUAUUUAUAGGACGAGAAGACCCUAUAAAUCUUAACUUUUUGAUAAAGAAAUAAAGUUUGGUUGGGGCGACCAGUAAAAAAUAAAACUUUACUCCUUCAAAUAUUUAACAUAAAAAUUUUGAAAUGAUCCUUUCUUAAAGAUCAAUAGAAUAAGUUACUUUAGGGAUAACAGCGUAAUUGUUUUAAAGAGUUCUUAUCAACAAAAAAGUUUGUGACCUCGAUGUUGGAUUAAAUAAACUUAAAGUGCAGCAACUUUAAUGAAUAUAGUCUGUUCGACUUAUAAAUUAUUUACACGAUUUGAGUUCAGACCGGAGAUCAUUAGUUUAUUAAUUGUAAAAUCGUAUGAAAGAAUAAAUAAGAAUUUAAUUGUCUCAAUUUUACACCAACCAA
Molecule: ribosomal RNA, 511 nt
Filed under: Facetotecta sp.
Lineage: Eukaryota; Metazoa; Arthropoda; Thecostraca
Description: partial large subunit ribosomal RNA
Rfam family: Archaeal large subunit ribosomal RNA (bases 125-451)
Source: RNAcentral